This 273-nucleotide unclassified non-coding RNA is filed under the name Hevea brasiliensis (rubber tree). Lineage: Eukaryota; Viridiplantae; Streptophyta; Magnoliopsida; Malpighiales; Euphorbiaceae. The record is from RNAcentral.
CGAAAAACCCAAAUUAGCAGAAUCAAGGAAAUUAUCUACUGAGGUAAGAACUUUUGGUGUACCAACUGCAUUCUCCGAUGAAACGACUAGUGCCGAGCUGAACUUCUUUGAGCUUGUCCCUGUGGUUUCGGUAGCUGAUGAUGAAUCUGCCUUCUUGCUAACCCAACUGGAAUUGUCAGAGACGAAUGUUUCUUCAACUAAAACAAUAUGGUACCGAGUUUUAUCAAUAUCAAGAGCCACAAUUUUGUUAAUGUGAUCCAACGAGCUAGCAAG